GGCUCCUCGUAGUAUACCAAAUAGGGAGUCGGACCUGCCCGGCGAAAUUUUUUAACGGCCGCGGUACUCUGACCGUGCAAAGGUAGCAUAAUCAUUUGCCUUAUAACUGAAGGCUAGUAUGAAUGGUUUGACAAGAGUGUAACUGUCUCUUUACAAUUAAUUAGAAUUUUAUUUUUAGGUGAAGAAGCCUAUAUAAAAUUGAAAGACAAGAAGACCCUAUCGAGCUUGAAAAGAAUUAAUAAAUUUAAUUUUAAACAAAGCAUUAAUUUUAUUUAUUAAAAAAUUUUAGUUGGGGCGACUGAGGAACAAAUAAAGCUUCCUUUAUUCUAUAAACUAAACUGACGGGUUUUGAUCCAAAAUUUUUGAUUAAAGAAAUUAGUUACCGUAGGGAUAACAGCAUUAUCCUCUUCAAGAGUUCUUAUCGAAAAGGGGGUUUGUGACCUCGAUGUUGGACCAGAAUAUCCUAAAGAUGCAGCCGUCUUUAAGGGUUGGUCUGUUCGACCAUUAAAAUUCUACGUGAUCUGAGUUCAGACCGGCGUGAGCCAGGUCAGUUUCUAUCUUCAAUUUUAUUAAUAAACUUAGUACGAAAGGACCAGAUUAUUGCAAAAUAUAUUGUUAAUCUAUAGAUAAAAUAUAAUUAACUUAUUAAAAUUUAAGUUUAAUGUGCUUAGUGUAUCAAAUUAGCAAAGAUAAUGCAAUUGACUUAGGAUCAAUAGACAUAGGUGAAACCCCUUUAUUUGAUAGAUGUAUUUUAUAGAAUAUAAAUAAAGAUGGCAGAAUGAA
RNAcentral lists this ribosomal RNA (783 nucleotides) under Chicoreus axicornis. RNAcentral's name for it is "partial 16S ribosomal RNA". The stretch from base 1 to 586 matches the Rfam family "Bacterial large subunit ribosomal RNA", at positions 1819 to 2925 of the family's 2925-position model. Lineage: Eukaryota; Metazoa; Mollusca; Gastropoda; Neogastropoda; Muricidae. The record is from RNAcentral.